UUCCAGUGAUUCGUCAUCCCCACAAUGUUCCCAUUGACCAGCUAAGUGGGUAGGCUCUGUACCCUGCAGGGUAAUGCAUCACAGGAAAUAAAGAGAUUGACAGCUGGUGGCUUUUGCUUGGGGUAGAGCGAGCAGUCAACCUUUUAAAUACAGGAGGAAAAUGCUACAGUGAUUACAUGAACC
Hyla sarda is the source of this 183-nucleotide long non-coding RNA. RefSeq lists it as uncharacterized. NCBI's taxonomy places the organism in Eukaryota, Metazoa, Chordata, Amphibia, Anura, Hylidae. The record is from RefSeq and is a predicted model, not a curated record. The transcript has 3 exons.